CGCGGCACGGGAGGUGGCUCCCAAAGGCAGGGAACGGCGAGGAACAUGGGCACUCGGGGCUCUGCCGAGUUGCUCGUUCAAAGAGUGCAGAUAUUGAACUGCUGGGAAACUACCUGCCUGAAACUCCACAGAAGCCCCAUGCGAGUGGUGCCUAUUGUUUCCAUGAGCAGAGCCUCCUCUCAGACACUAAAGCAGAGUGCAGUUCUGGUGUAGAAACUGAGGACAGAAAAGUAAGUGCCUUGUUUUAAUGUGAUUUUUCAGGCAGCUCUAGUGGCGGGGAUUUUCUCUGGUUGUUGUUCAGGGGUUUUUUUAUUAAACCAUGUGAAAUUAUUUUAUGGUUCUUAGCAUGUGUAAGUGCUCAUGUUGUAUUUUAACUUCAAUGGGGAGAAAUCAGUCUUACUCUAUUGAAUAUACUUGUUAAAAAUUUGAAUAACUGUUUCAGAAGAAGCAGAAGUGAAUUAUAGUACUAAUCUCUUUGUGCUACAAAAAAAAAGUUUACAAGGCAGUUGCACUUCUUAUUCUUAAUUUACAUUGUUAACAAAGUUAUUGUGAGUCUGUUAUGGUAAAGUUGGCAUACCAUGUUAAAUAUUUGUAAGACAGCAAGAUAAUUGCUUUUUCUUGCUUUAAAAGUAGUACCUUUGAAACCUUAUUUUUUUU
RNAcentral lists this long non-coding RNA (657 nucleotides) under Zonotrichia albicollis (white-throated sparrow). RNAcentral describes it as "lncRNA (ENSZALG00000016296.1)". The record is from RNAcentral. Lineage: Eukaryota; Metazoa; Chordata; Aves; Passeriformes; Passerellidae.